Molecule: unclassified non-coding RNA, 240 nt
Filed under: soil metagenome
Description: partial contains 5.8S ribosomal RNA, internal transcribed spacer 2, and large subunit ribosomal RNA
Source: RNAcentral
AAGACUAUAGACCUGCGGAGUACCUGCGGAGGGAUCAUUGUCGAGAUUCUCAGGGGCGGCGGCGGCCCUCGGGCCGUCGCCCCCCGAACCCUCCCACCUUUGUUGAGAAACCUCAGUUGCUUCGGCGGCGAGGGGUCGGCGGGCGAGGACGCGCUCCUCUCCCGCCCACCCGCGAGCCGCCGGAGGACACAACCAAACACAUCCAACACCGAGUCCGAAGCGAAAAAAAAUUCAUAAUUG